Molecule: ribosomal RNA, 750 nt
Filed under: uncultured bacterium
Lineage: Bacteria
Description: bacterial SSU rRNA
Rfam family: Bacterial small subunit ribosomal RNA
Source: RNAcentral
GGGGGGGCAAAAUGCAGGUCGAGCGAGCUUGCCUAGAUGAUCUUAGUGCUUGCACUAAAUGAAACUAGAUACAAGCGACGCGUCAGACGGGUGAGUAACACGUGGGUAACCUGCCCAAGCCACUGGGAUAACACCUGGAAACAGAUGCUAAUACCGGAUAACAACACUAGACGCAUGUCUAGAGUUUGAAAGAUGGUUCUGCUAUCACCCUUGGAUGGACCUGCGGUGCAUUAGCUAGUUGGUAAGGUAACGGCUUACCAAGGCAAUGAUGCAUAGCCGAGUUGAGAGACUGAUCGGCCACAUUGGGACUGAGACACGGCCCAAACUCCUACGGGAGGCAGCAGUAGGGAAUCUUCCACAAUGGACGAAAGUCUGAUGGAGCAACGCCGCGUGAGUGAAGAAGGGUUUCGGCUCGUAAAGCUCUGUUGGUAGUGAAGAAAGAUAGAGGUAGUAACUGGCCUUUAUUUGACGGUAAUUACUUAGAAAGUCACGGCUAACUACGUGCCAGCAGCCGCGGUAAUACGUAGGUGGCAAGCGUUGUCCGGAUUUAUUGGGCGUAAAGCGAGUGCAGGCGGUUCAAUAAGUCUGAUGUGAAAGCCUUCGGCUCAACCGGAGAAUUGCAUCAGAAACUGUUGAACUUGAGUGCAGAAGAGGAGAGUGGAACUCCAUGUGUAGCGGUGGAAUGCGUAGAUAUAUGGAAGAACACCAGUGGCGAAGGCGGCUCUCUGGUCUGCAACUGACGCUGAGGCU